This 1067-nucleotide long non-coding RNA is filed under the name Sus scrofa (pig). Its description in RNAcentral is "lncRNA (ENSSSCG00005037304.1)". The record is from RNAcentral. Lineage: Eukaryota; Metazoa; Chordata; Mammalia; Artiodactyla; Suidae.
ACAGCCAAAAAGAGCCCAAGGAGACAUGACCAUUAAAUAUAAUGUGGUGUCUUGAAUGAGAUACCGUGCCAGAAAAGGGACACUUGGUAAAAACUGGAGAAAUCUAAAUAAAGUGUGGACUUUAGUUAGUAGAAAUAAAUAGAAUGGUUGCAGUUGCUCCAGAGGGAUCUUAGAAUAACUUACCUUGCGUUGUUGAAAGAACACCGGUUUGGGUGUCGUAAACCUUGGUAUUCAGGCCUCUGCCCUUUGGUAGCAGUAUGACCAUUAAGCAAGUCAUACUGUGGACUUUAUUGUUCCCUUUCUGUAAUUGGGCUAAUAAAACUUGAUAUCCUACUUCCUUCAUGGUAUUGUUAGAUCCAAGUGAAUAUUGAACAUAAAAUGCUUUGGAAGCCCUGUAAAGUACUAUUGUCAUCCCAAUUUUAGAGCCAGAGAAACUAAGGCACAAAGAAAUUAAGUAACUGACUCCAGUCACACAGUUAGUACAGUGACUCCCUCUUGACAGUAGUGUUCAGUACACGUGAAGUAUCCGGGCGGGUCUGGCAAGGUUAGGAAGAGGUUGAGAAUCAGUGACAGCACUCUGGGGAAUCUAGGCAUGUCAGACCAAGAUUUAUUAUUCAGAAAAGUUAAGACAGCUGUUCCUUAGGGAUCAGUUGUUUAUUCCUGGAAAAUGUUUUCCACUUUCUGCAAAUCUAUAUCUGACCUGCUGAGGAAAUCGUUUGUGAAAUUCAUCCAGAAGGCAGAGAAAAUGUUUCAUUACUUUAAAUAGCAGCACUAAGCCUGUUAUAGUCUCUGAAUUGUCCCUUCUUGGAGUUUGCUAGUACUUCCAAUUUAGUCAUUUGGGAGCUCAAAAGUAUGAUUUUAUAUGCCCCUCCUGAUAUCCUCAUCUCUUGCAGAAUGUAUAGUUAUCUCUUUUGGACUAUGUAUUACAAACAUUUUAAACAUAAGAUCCUAUCCACAUAUUUCAUUAUUAUUAAACCAACAUUGUACUUACUAUGUUUUGCAAUACUUCCUUUAUCAUCUUCUAGAAUUCUUCAUGGACCUAAUAGAAUAAAGACUUCUUGAAUUCA